Molecule: transfer-messenger RNA, 386 nt
Filed under: Helicobacter pylori
Lineage: Bacteria; Pseudomonadati; Campylobacterota; Epsilonproteobacteria; Campylobacterales; Helicobacteraceae
Rfam family: transfer-messenger RNA
About the family: Bacterial tmRNA, also known as 10Sa RNA or SsrA, is named for its dual tRNA and mRNA-like properties. Its role is to liberate the mRNA from a stalled ribosome.
Source: RNAcentral
GGGGCUGACUUGGAUUUCGACAGAUUUCUUGUCGCACAGACAGCAUGCCAAGCGCUACUUGUAAAACAGCAACAAAAAUAACUGUAAACAACACAGAUUACGCUCCAGCUUACGCUAAAGUUGCGUGAGUUAAUCUCCUUUUGGAGCUGGACUGAUUAGAAUUUCUAGCGUUUUAAUCACUCCAUAACCUUAAGCUAGACGCUUUUAAAAGGUGGUUCGCCUUUUAAACUAAGAAACAAGAACUCUUGAAACUAUCUCAAGGUUUUAGAAAGUUGGACCAGAGCUAGUUUUAAGGCUAAAAAACCAACCAAUUUUCUAAGCAUUGUAGAAGUUUGUGUUUAGGGCAAGAUUUUUGGACUGGGGUUCGAUUCCCCACAGCUCCACCA